GGGGAAUAUUGCACAAUGGGCGGAAGCCUGAUGCAGCGACGCCGCGUGAGGGAUGACGGCCUUCGGGUUGUAAACCUCUUUCAGCAGGGAAGAAGCUUUUGUGACGGUACCUGCAGAAGAAGCACCGGCUAACUACGUGCCAGCAGCCGCGGUAAUACGUAGGGUGCAAGCGUUGUCCGGAAUUAUUGGGCGUAAAGAGCUCGUAGGCGGUUUGUCGCGUCGGUUGUGAAAGCCCAGGGCUUAACCCUGGGUUGGCAGUCGAUACGGGCAGGCUAGAGUUCGGUAGGGGAGACUGGAAUUCCUGGUGUAGCGGUGGAAUGCGCAGAUAUCAGGAGGAACACCGGUGGCGAAGGCGGGUCUCUGGGCCGAUACUGACGCUGAGGAGCGAAAGCGUGGGGAGCGAAC
RNAcentral lists this ribosomal RNA (405 nucleotides) under uncultured bacterium. RNAcentral describes it as "bacterial SSU rRNA". It matches the Rfam family "Bacterial small subunit ribosomal RNA", at positions 356 to 773 of the family's 1533-position model. The record is from RNAcentral.